CAGCCGCCGCGGUAAUACGAAGGGUGCAAGCGUUAAUCGGAAUUACUGGGCGUAAAGCGUGCGUAGGCGGUGAGUUAAGUCUGCUGUGAAAUCCCCGGGCUCAACCUGGGAAUGGCAGUGGAUACUGGCUCGCUAGAGUGUGUCAGAGGAUGGUGGAAUUCCCGGUGUAGCGGUGAAAUGCGUAGAGAUCGGGAGGAACAUCAGUGGCGAAGGCGGCCAUCUGGGACAACACUGACGCUGAGGCACGAAAGCGUGGGGAGCAGACAGGAUUAGAUACCCCAGUAGUCCCUGUCUCUUAUAC
This 301-nucleotide ribosomal RNA is filed under the name uncultured bacterium. Its description in RNAcentral is "partial 16S ribosomal RNA". It matches the Rfam family "Bacterial small subunit ribosomal RNA", at positions 509 to 807 of the family's 1533-position model. The record is from RNAcentral.